Molecule: ribosomal RNA, 2817 nt
Filed under: Klebsiella pneumoniae
Lineage: Bacteria; Pseudomonadati; Pseudomonadota; Gammaproteobacteria; Enterobacterales; Enterobacteriaceae
Description: bacterial LSU rRNA
Rfam family: Bacterial large subunit ribosomal RNA
Source: RNAcentral
NNNNNNNNNNNNNNNNNNNCCGGCGAUGUCCGAAUGGGGAAACCCAGUGCAAUUCGUUGCACUAUCGUUAACUGAAUACAUAGGUUAACGAGGCGAACCGGGGGAACUGAAACAUCUAAGUACCCCGAGGAAAAGAAAUCAACCGAGAUUCCCCCAGUAGCGGCGAGCGAACGGGGAGCAGCCCAGAGUCUGAAUCAGCUUGUGUGUUAGUGGAACGGUCUGGAAAGUCCGACGGUACAGGGUGAUAGUCCCGUACACCAAAAUGCACAGGUUGUGAACUCGAAGAGUAGGGCGGGACACGUGGUAUCCUGUCUGAAUAUGGGGGGACCAUCCUCCAAGGCUAAAUACUCCUGACUGACCGAUAGUGAACCAGUACCGUGAGGGAAAGGCGAAAAGAACCCCGGCGAGGGGAGUGAAAAAGAACCUGAAACCGUGUACGUACAAGCAGUGGGAGCACCUUCGGGUGUGACUGCGUACCUUUUGUAUAAUGGGUCAGCGACUUAUAUUCUGUAGCAAGGUUAACCGUAUAGGGGAGCCGCAGGGAAACCGAGUCUUAACUGGGCGUUAAGUUGCAGGGUAUAGACCCGAAACCCGGUGAUCUAGCCAUGGGCAGGUUGAAGGUUGGGUAACACUAACUGGAGGACCGAACCGACUAAUGUUGAAAAAUUAGCGGAUGACUUGUGGCUGGGGGUGAAAGGCCAAUCAAACCGGGAGAUAGCUGGUUCUCCCCGAAAGCUAUUUAGGUAGCGCCUCGUGAAUUCAUCUUCGGGGGUAGAGCACUGUUUCGGCUAGGGGGUCAUCCCGACUUACCAACCCGAUGCAAACUACGAAUACCGAAGAAUGUUAUCACGGGAGACACACGGCGGGUGCUAACGUCCGUCGUGAAGAGGGAAACAACCCAGACCGCCAGCUAAGGUCCCAAAGUCAUGGUUAAGUGGGAAACGAUGUGGGAAGGCACAGACAGCCAGGAUGUUGGCUUAGAAGCAGCCAUCAUUUAAAGAAAGCGUAAUAGCUCACUGGUCGAGUCGGCCUGCGCGGAAGAUGUAACGGGGCUAAACCAUGCACCGAAGCUGCGGCAGCGACACUAUGUGUUGUUGGGUAGGGGAGCGUUCUGUAAGCCUGCGAAGGUGACCUGUGAGGGUUGCUGGAGGUAUCAGAAGUGCGAAUGCUGACAUAAGUAACGAUAAAGCGGGUGAAAAGCCCGCUCGCCGGAAGACCAAGGGUUCCUGUCCAACGUUAAUCGGGGCAGGGUGAGUCGACCCCUAAGGCGAGGCCGAAAGGCGUAGUCGAUGGGAAACAGGUUAAUAUUCCUGUACUUGGUGUUACUGCGAAGGGGGGACGGAGAAGGCUAUGUUAGCCGGGCGACGGUUGUCCCGGUUUAAGCAUGUAGGCUGGUUAUCCAGGCAAAUCCGGAUAAUCAAGGCUGAGGUGUGAUGACGAGGCACUACGGUGCUGAAGUAACAAAUGCCCUGCUUCCAGGAAAAGCCUCUAAGCAUCAGGUAACAUCAAAUCGUACCCCAAACCGACACAGGUGGUCAGGUAGAGAAUACCAAGGCGCUUGAGAGAACUCGGGUGAAGGAACUAGGCAAAAUGGUGCCGUAACUUCGGGAGAAGGCACGCUGGUGUGUAGGUGAAGCCCCUGCGGGUGGAGCUGAGACCAGUCGAAGAUACCAGCUGGCUGCAACUGUUUAUUAAAAACACAGCACUGUGCAAACACGAAAGUGGACGUAUACGGUGUGACGCCUGCCCGGUGCCGGAAGGUUAAUUGAUGGGGUUAUCCGUAAGGAGAAGCUCUUGAUCGAAGCCCCGGUAAACGGCGGCCGUAACUAUAACGGUCCUAAGGUAGCGAAAUUCCUUGUCGGGUAAGUUCCGACCUGCACGAAUGGCGUAAUGAUGGCCAGGCUGUCUCCACCCGAGACUCAGUGAAAUUGAACUCGCUGUGAAGAUGCAGUGUACCCGCGGCAAGACGGAAAGACCCCGUGAACCUUUACUAUAGCUUGACACUGAACAUUGAGCCUUGAUGUGUAGGAUAGGUGGGAGGCUUUGAAGCGUGGACGCCAGUCUGCGUGGAGCCAACCUUGAAAUACCACCCUUUAAUGUUUGAUGUUCUAACGUUGGCCCCUGACCGGGGUUGCGGACAGUGUCUGGUGGGUAGUUUGACUGGGGCGGUCUCCUCCCAAAGCGUAACGGAGGAGCACGAAGGUUAGCUAAUCCUGGUCGGACAUCAGGAGGUUAGUGCAAUGGCAUAAGCUAGCUUGACUGCGAGCGUGACGGCGCGAGCAGGUGCGAAAGCAGGUCAUAGUGAUCCGGUGGUUCUGAAUGGAAGGGCCAUCGCUCAACGGAUAAAAGGUACUCCGGGGAUAACAGGCUGAUACCGCCCAAGAGUUCAUAUCGACGGCGGUGUUUGGCACCUCGAUGUCGGCUCAUCACAUCCUGGGGCUGAAGUAGGUCCCAAGGGUAUGGCUGUUCGCCAUUUAAAGUGGUACGCGAGCUGGGUUUAGAACGUCGUGAGACAGUUCGGUCCCUAUCUGCCGUGGGCGCUGGAGAAUUGAGGGGGGCUGCUCCUAGUACGAGAGGACCGGAGUGGACGCAUCACUGGUGUUCGGGUUGUCAUGCCAAUGGCACUGCCCGGUAGCUAAAUGCGGAAGAGAUAAGUGCUGAAAGCAUCUAAGCACGAAACUUGCCCCGAGAUGAGUUCUCCCUGAGACUUUAAGUCUCCUGAAGGAACGUUAAAGACGAUGACGUUGAUAGGCCGGGUGUGUAAGCGCAGCGAUGCGUUGAGCUAACCGGUACUAAUGAACCGUGAGGCUUAACCUU